AAAUCAUUAUAUUUUCGAGUUAUUAAUAUACAUAUCUAUGAGUCGAAUUUAUGAACAUGUUUAGUCGCGCCCCUAGUUAGAUAAAUAAUUUUAAAUUUUCGACUAUUAUUCUUGCAAAUAAAAACUCUUAUACACAAAGAUUGGGCCAUAAAAAUAUAUUAGCAAUAAUCUCUAUAAUGGGCCUUAUGUAUUUAUUUAUGUUUCAUUGGGCUUGGUUUGAAUUAAAGCCCGUAAAAAUCUUUUGUUCCUCAGCCACGAUUUCAUUUUUGUUCCUCAGCCACAUGUUUUUUUUAAAUCCUUGAAGAGCACGCAUCAUUUUUUACUUAAUAGUCUUAUGCAUCAUGAAAUUCAUUCCAUUUAAAGUUUAUCUACUCGACUCCACCGCCUCAUUUCAGUUUAUUAAACUCUUUCAUUUUCUGAAAAACACCACCAAAACCCAGCAAUCAACUUCUUGUUUCUGCUGCUUUCGAUUCAAGUGGUAAUUUUAAUUCUUGUACAGAGCUUAUGUAAUUUUAUUUCAGCAUCUCAAUCGUUUAUCCAAUUUCUGUCCAAAAACCAAAACUUUACAACAUAAUUCUGUUUUCAAAUCAAAACAUGCAUACAUCCAUUUUCUGUAAUUUCCAUAAGGAAAUCAAAUAGAAUAGAGAUAUUAAUAAUUACACAGAAAGGGAAAAAUAGGAGAAGAAACUGGAAAUGGGAGUUUGUGGCAUAGAACAGGCAGGAGGCGGCGGCGGCGGCCUGCCAACUGCUGCUGCCUGGCAUGGCGGCGGCGGCGGCAGCCGUUUUUGACGGCCGAAGGAAUGAGAGGGCGCCAGAUCUGGAAUAAGGAGGCGGCAGCUUCGGCCUCGCCGAUGGCUGUUCGGCUGAGGAAGAGAGAGAAAGAAGGGGAGGCGACGUCGGGCUGGAGGUGACGGUUGGCUGCUCAUCAGAGCAGGGGGGGCGGCGUCGGCUUCGCCGAGGGCCUUCUGGUCGAGAGAGAAAGAGAGAGGCUGGAGACGAGAGUUGAGGGAGAGAGGUCAACGGGGAGCGAGAGAUGAGGGAAGAGGAAGAGAGGUUGAGGAGAUGUGAAGGGGAGGUAGAGCCGCCGGCCUCCGGCGGCGGCGUGCCGUCCGGGGCGGCGACAGGAGGCCGAGAAGAGGAGAGGGAGCAGGGCCGAGAGAGGGAGAUGAGGGGGGGCUGCGUGAGUUGUGUGUGUGUGUGAUGGGAGUGUGAUUAAAUUGGGAAAAAGGGAAGUAUUGGGCUUGGGCUUGGGCUGGUUUUAAUGGGCUCAGAUAUAUCUAAAUUGAUUGGACUCUAGUUUGAUUAAAUAUUGGAUUAAUUUAUAUUAUCAAAUGGACUUGCAUUUGCAUAUUAUUUUAUAAAGGGCAUCAUUCAUAUUAUUUUUGGACUUGAAUUAUUAAUUCAAAUUUAGUUUUAAUUAAAUAUUGAGGUCAAAUCUUUUUAUAAAAGUACUUUUAUAAUUUAUUAGACCAAUGAUUUUGAAGGGUUUUAUGAUUUAAACUAGUACUAUUAUUAUUAUUAUUUUUAAAGUUCAAUUAGGCCCUUAUGUUUAUUAUUUGAAUUUAUCUGACUAGGUGCGGCGCGACUAGGACAUGGAUUUUAAUUUGAAUUAUCAGAAUUAACUUUCAAGUUCAAGUUCAAGUUCAAGUUCAAAAUUCAGGUGUGGGAUUUAUUUCAGUACAUGCUGUGGUUAAUCUUGUUCAUUUUAAUAUCAUGUGUUUACCAUAUGUGAGUUGCAUUAAAUUAUAUCGCUAGGGGCCCGCUCAAUGGGUCCAGGACAUUAAAGUCCUUGGUAUGCCACAAUGCGAUUUCAUGUUAAAGUUAUGGUUGCAACCAGUCGCCAGGGGCCGGCUCAAUCGGUCCAGGACGGAAAGGUCCUUGGUAUGCCACAGUGCGACUUUCAGUUACGAAUGUAUUGAUCAUAUGUGAUUCUCAUUUUAUUAACGUGGACAAUGAUUGCAUGUUCCCACACUGAGUGUACCCUGUAUGCUCAUCCCAUAUUUAACAUUUUCAGGUUUUAAAGACCGGAGGCGCGUGGAAGGUCGAAUGGCGAGUCAAAUAUUUUGAAUUUAGUUUUACUUAAAAAUGUUAUUUUGAGUAAAGUAUGUUUAAAGAAAAAUGUAUUUCCUAAUUUUCUCAUUAAAUAUUUAUUUAUGGUCAUGAUUUUCCGCGUGCGUUUUCAUUUAUAAUUAAAAUGGAUUUUGGUGUCACAAG
RNAcentral lists this long non-coding RNA (2214 nucleotides) under Salvia miltiorrhiza (redroot sage). Its description in RNAcentral is "long non-coding RNA (SMIL_LNC000573)". The record is from RNAcentral. Lineage: Eukaryota; Viridiplantae; Streptophyta; Magnoliopsida; Lamiales; Lamiaceae.